UGUGAUUUGGUAAUUGGGAGAUUUUAUACUUGUAAAAAGUUGGAGAGGAACUCCUGAAGGAAAAGAAGGAGUUCCCAGGAAUCUGCCUUAGAAAAGUAAUGAAUAAGCCUUUCUGUACCAAGGUAGGAUGAUACCUUGUCUGGGGGAACUCAGAGGUUAAGUGAUUAACCAGCCAGUAUGUGUAGAGGUAGGAUUUGAAUUCAAGUCUUCUUGAUUUGGCAGUCAACUCUAUCCACUAAAUUCACUGCCCUGCCUUUUAACAUAAUGCUAUAUACUUAAAAAAAAAAAUCCUUUUGGAGAAAGCUCUUGUGAGGACCGCUUGGGAAGAAUCUCUUGAGAGAGGCACUGGAGAAGGGAAGCUCUUGGAGGACAAUCUCUAAGGAGGUCUUGCUGGAGUUCCUCUGAGGGGACUCUGUCCCUCUAGAGGCUCUGGAGAGAGGCCCUUUGAAACAGUCUCUGGCUGGAAGGCUCUUUGAGGAGGACUCUGGCUGGAACUCUCUCUGGUGAAGUCAGCUGAGAUGGAGCUGGCUUGGUGUCCCUAGAAUCCUUGCUUAGACAGACCUUGUGGCUUCAAAAUUACAGCUGCAAGAACGGGGCUCAGUUAUGAAGACUGAUCUCAGAAUCACAGAAUCUCAGUUGGAAGUAGCUUGCCAUGGUUUGAGAAACCUCUAUAUUCCUGACCCAAUUUAGUCUACCAUUACCUGAUGGGAGCUUGUUGCUUGAACUAAUCCUGCAUAUGAAGACGGUUGCUUCAGCAAUCCUGCGUGUGAAUUAUUGGGAUUCUGGGGAAGAAGAACAGAUCCUGAGGACAAGAUGCAGAGAACACAAUUCCAAUUGAGCUCUGAGGCAAGAAUCUGGCCAAUAGAAAAGCUUCUGGAAGGACCAGGGGAGUUUUAUCCUUUUGACUCUGGACAUUGGGGUCCUUGA
Molecule: long non-coding RNA, 927 nt
Filed under: Monodelphis domestica (gray short-tailed opossum)
Lineage: Eukaryota; Metazoa; Chordata; Mammalia; Didelphimorphia; Didelphidae
Description: lncRNA (ENSMODG00000036407.1)
Source: RNAcentral